RNAcentral lists this unclassified non-coding RNA (470 nucleotides) under Zea mays. Its description in RNAcentral is "misc RNA Zm00001eb339430". The record is from RNAcentral. Lineage: Eukaryota; Viridiplantae; Streptophyta; Magnoliopsida; Poales; Poaceae.
CCAACACCAAGAACCAGAGCAGGGGAAGAAGUGAUUCGCUGCGCGAUUGCUUGUUCGCAAGGUCGAUUAUCGACUCUGAGUGUGUACAGGCAGUGCGGGAGAGAGGUCGGUAGCUCAUUGAAGAAGCCGCAAGCGCGGGGGAGCCGGAGACGACGAGAUUUUCUCUCCGGAAAUUUGUGCCUCCGCAGCUCCGUUUGGGUGGACCGACGACCAUUUCACCACCUUAGCCCCGAAGAGCCAGUGGCUGAGGAGUCGAGUGUUCAGCAAGUAGAAGUUGCUGAGCAGGAGCUCAUUGAAGGAGAAGAACAGGUGGUCCAGGAGGAGCCGUACAAUGAGGAGUACGAGUUGAUCUAGGUGGCGUCUCCCAGUCAGCUUUAUGGUGCCAAGGAUGGACGUUUAGUUUGCUUUAUUAUUAUCAUUUAUUUUUGUAGGACUUUCGCUAUGUAAUAAUGAUAUUUAUGAUAUUUGUG